Hippocampus comes (tiger tail seahorse) is the source of this 521-nucleotide long non-coding RNA. RefSeq lists it as uncharacterized. NCBI's taxonomy places the organism in Eukaryota, Metazoa, Chordata, Actinopteri, Syngnathiformes, Syngnathidae. The record is from RefSeq and is a predicted model, not a curated record. The transcript has 2 exons.
CUCCCACCCCAAAGGCACAAGUCAAGAAGGCACUGUCGGUUCCCGCCAUAAUUAUUAUUUGUCAGUUUUUCGACUGCUUGUUUUGUUAUUUAUGGCCUAGGAGUGUCCUGCAAUGGAGCUUGUAAAACCAAGACAAAUAUUUUCCACAUAUAAGCUGUCUUUCAUUUUGGACCUGACUCAGCUUUGACCCUGAUCCCCUGAAGCGGCAUACAUUCUGGAGCAUGACUAUAGGUGGUAGCGUGACAUGGAUGUCAGUCUACGCUAUAAACCAAUCCCAGGUGCAACGCUACAUCUCUUGCAAAACACUGCGCCAUGCCAAGAUGGCUUUGUAUGUGAACAUGGUGGGCUUGUGUGUGACUCUUAGUCUGGCAAUGCUGUCUGGCCUCGCUAUGUUCUCCAUUUACAAGAACUGCGACCCGUUCACCAAUGGCGAUGUCGGUUCCACAGACCAGGUACUUCUCAACCCGGCCAUCACACAGGCGCUUGCCUAUGCGUUGAAUAACAAUGUCUUUGCAAAAAAA